GACGAACGCUGGCGGCGCGCCUAACACAUGCAAGUCGAGCGAUGAAAUUUUAACCGAUCUCUUCGGAGAGAAGAUAAAAUGGAUUAGCGGCGGACGGGUGAGUAACACGUGAGAAACCUGCCUUUCACAAGGGGAUAGCCUCGGGAAACCGGGAUUAAUACCCUAUGACACAUUUCCUUCGCAUGGAAGAAAUGUUAAAACUCCGGUGGUGAAAGAUGGUCUCGCGCCUGAUUAGCUAGUUGGUGGGGUAACGGCCCACCAAGGCCAUGAUCAGUAACCGGCCUGUGAGAGUGAACGGUCACAUUGGAACCGAGACACGGUCCAAACUCCUACGGGAGGCAGCAGUGGGGAAUGUUGCACAAUGGAGGAAACUCUGAUGCAGCGACGCCGCGUGAGCGAUGAAGGCUUUCGAGUCGUAAAGCUCUGUCCUAUGGGAAGAUAAUGACGGUACCAUAGGAGGAAGCCCCGGCUAACUACGUG
This 480-nucleotide ribosomal RNA is filed under the name uncultured bacterium. Its description in RNAcentral is "partial 16S ribosomal RNA". It matches the Rfam family "Bacterial small subunit ribosomal RNA", at positions 28 to 507 of the family's 1533-position model. The record is from RNAcentral.